CAAGCCAGAAACAUCAACCUGAAGCUCUCACCUGCACACCUGCUGAAGCUAAGCAGGGAUGAGCUGGUCAGUACCUGGAUGGGACACCUGCUGGGAAGACCAGGCUGCUGCUGGA
Molecule: ribosomal RNA, 115 nt
Organism: Sinocyclocheilus grahami
Lineage: Eukaryota; Metazoa; Chordata; Actinopteri; Cypriniformes; Cyprinidae
Source: Ensembl